Pimephales promelas (fathead minnow) is the source of this 2129-nucleotide long non-coding RNA. RefSeq lists it as uncharacterized. The record is from RefSeq and is a predicted model, not a curated record. NCBI's taxonomy places the organism in Eukaryota, Metazoa, Chordata, Actinopteri, Cypriniformes, Leuciscidae.
GCUAAAACAUAAAACUUUUAUCAUAAGAUAUUAUUUUCUAAAACUCAGGCAAUAGAUCCUGUAAGACAAUUGACUAUUGCUACUAUAGCCUAUACAUUCUUUAAACGCGUGGUUGAACGAUUUGGCUUUGCAGUUUAGUCAAAAUAGCGGUCUAAAACUUGAUCACGGGAUUUUCUAGAAUUUGAACAGCAAACAAAUUUAUUUAUUUUCUUCACAACUGAAUUUUGGCCUGAAUAAGUAACACGUUUUUUAACGUUUGACAGACAAGAUUUUGUUCUAAAGGUUUUGUCUAGGUGGAGAGCCAGUGCCUCGUAGAAUGACGUCAAUAUCGAUAAACGGAAAACGCACCCCGGAGCGCUAUUGUAAGGAUCUUUCUCUCCGCUGAUACCCGGCCGGAGCGCGGCUGGACCCGAACUGCCUCCCCGAGGAACUCCUGCUGGAAUGGUUUGAGUGCGCAGAGCGCAGCAGAGGACUACUGUUUCAGUUGUGGGAAUUAUUGCACUCUUCUCAUGUUGCUCCGAACACACCUGCCAAAAGAACAAUGAUGAUAAAGUGUAGACAAGCCGGAUCAAGCCGAAAUAAAUAUCAGUUCACUAUUUAAAUGACAGCAUUUCCGACCUGCACAUCACUCCUCAUUCAGUCAUUGAAACAGUAAUAUCACACGCACACACAAGAACUGCAUAACCAGCAUUUCUUCCUCAGGCUGGAUUUGCCAGUCUUUCACACCUGAUUUAGCAUGAUGAAAACUUGAAGAGAAUGAGAAAAAUCUUACCUUUCAGUACUUGCUCUUUCUUGAACGCACAGGUGUAGAUCAAUCAGGCCAAACUAAACAUGAUAGCAGGAUUCUGAAACACAUUUAAGUCCAAUUUACACAGGCAUUUUACAACAUUUCAUUUAAUGAAGUUAGCGAGAGGUCACACAUUCAAAGGAAGAAGAAGAAGUGUUCACAUUUUACAAAUGCUCACACUGCGGCUGACGGACACACAACACAAGAGCCGAUUUCAGAGAAUCGUGUUACCCGACCAAGCUUGAAGGAGCACAAGAGAGCUGUAAUUUAGUUUGUUGUUGUCACUUUGAAUAAGGUUGCUUUCUCCUUUGUCUGGAAUGAAUACUGAACUCAAUGACCAGAACAACACAACGUUUGAGUUAGUUUAAAAUGCAGUGUAUGUGUGAGACAGAGAAUGAUUCAUGUCUUCUAAGGGCACAUCAUCUGUAGUGGAAGUAUGACUGGAUGCACACAUUAAACGCUCAGAUUCCUUGCGUGAGAACAGCAAGGCAACACAAAUGAAACAGCCUGCAGGUUAGACUCUUUCCAGUGCAAACAAUGUCAUGUGCACAUAAGGAACUGUACUUCACAUAAAACAUUCAGAACGAUCAAUUUCUUUAGCUUUCAAUACAUUCAUCAAAAUCCACCAACCAUCUUCAAUUGUCAUUGAAUCAUUCUCAUUAAAACGUAUGGAGCUGUAGAGAUUACAGUAAGCGUUUUAAAGUUCAUUGGGGAAAAAAUAGGCAUAAUGAUGAAUUUUACUGAUCAGAGAUGUCUGAAGUUCCUCGAACUAUCCAUCCAGAUUUGGAAAUCAAUUCACUUUUUCUUCUUCUUUGAAAACAGCCCUACAGCUUUGGAACGACACGUGAGGGUUAGUAAAUACUAUAUCAGAAUCCUUUAAAUUGACCUCGCAUAUUAAAAUGCAGGAUGAGACCAUGUGCUGGUUUGAUGAUGCCAUGAUCAUGAUAUAGUCAUUCACACAUGAAGGUAAAAAUAAAUUUAGAGUGGCAAGAGACAUGCAUGUUCAUAUAUCCUUUAUAUAAUGUAUAUCAACCUAAAUCUAAUACAGCAUCAAACUUAAAAAGGGAAAAAUAAAUGGAGAAAAAUAAACAUUAGCAAAAUGAGAUUAAAACCAAGUAUCAUCAAUUUGGGUAUCGGGAAGAAGCCGGGCUCUGAGGGGAUGAUGAGCCACGCUGAGAGCCAGGUACUCUGAGAACCUUGGGAAAGGAAAUGGUCCAGCGUUCUCCAGGAAAUGUCUCUUUUUAUAUGACUUUUAUUUAUUUGUCAUUUUUAAAUUGAUUUUUUUUUUCUCUCUCAUUUCAACACAAAACAUCUCUAAAGAGCAGCCGUCGUGAGAAGUUCA